This is a non-coding RNA of Pelobates cultripes (western spadefoot toad), 231 nucleotides long. NCBI's taxonomy places the organism in Eukaryota, Metazoa, Chordata, Amphibia, Anura, Pelobatidae. The record is from the annotation of a GenBank genome assembly.
CCUUCAGUAUGGCUACUCUGGCCUUUAAAUUCACCUUAAAUUUCUGACAAUUCUCACUUUAGUACAUACGCCCAAAAGGGUUAUUGGUCUUAUAGCAAAGAUGACAAUGUGGAGACUGGUUAUGGAGUGAUCAUAUAGGUAGGAAGUCCAUCCUUUCAAGAAAGAAUCUUCCAUGUGUCCUGUCUCCACUGCAAGGAAAAUUUAUUUAUAGGCACUCAUUUACAUAUUCAG